This 659-nucleotide ribosomal RNA is filed under the name Salmonella enterica subsp. houtenae. Its description in RNAcentral is "partial 23S ribosomal RNA". It matches the Rfam family "Bacterial large subunit ribosomal RNA", at positions 2263 to 2916 of the family's 2925-position model. Lineage: Bacteria; Pseudomonadati; Pseudomonadota; Gammaproteobacteria; Enterobacterales; Enterobacteriaceae. The record is from RNAcentral.
GGGUAGUUUGACUGGGGCGGUCUCCUCCUAAAGAGUAACGGAGGAGCACGAAGGUUGGCUAAUCCUGGUCGGACAUCAGGAGGUUAGUGCAAUGGCAUAAGCCAGCUUGACUGCGAGCGUGACGGCGCGAGCAGGUGCGAAAGCAGGUCAUAGUGAUCCGGUGGUUCUGAAUGGAAGGGCCAUCGCUCAACGGAUAAAAGGUACUCCGGGGAUAACAGGCUGAUACCGCCCAAGAGUUCAUAUCGACGGCGGUGUUUGGCACCUCGAUGUCGGCUCAUCACAUCCUGGGGCUGAAGUAGGUCCCAAGGGUAUGGCUGUUCGCCAUUUAAAGUGGUACGCGAGCUGGGUUUAGAACGUCGUGAGACAGUUCGGUCCCUAUCUGCCGUGGGCGCUGGAAGAUUGAGGGGGGCUGCUCCUAGUACGAGAGGACCGGAGUGGACGCAUCACUGGUGUUCGGGUUGUCAUGCCAAUGGCACUGCCCGGUAGCUACAUGCGGAAGAGAUAAGUGCUGAAAGCAUCUAAGCACGAAACUUGCCCCGAGAUGAAUCUUCCCUGAGCCUUUAAGGCUCCUGAAGGAACGUUGAAGACGACGACGUUGAUAGGCCGGGUGUGUAAGCGCAGCGAUGCGUUGAGCUAACCGGUACUAAUGAACCGUGAGG